AUGCACCCCUACAAAACCACGGAAAUCCAUAAUUUUUCACAACACAGAGGAAGAGCACACAGACAAGCAGACCACGCGCCCACAGCCUCAGCCUCAGGUCUCCCUCCGCGCACCGCAGCCACCACCAAGUGCAACCAAUCCCCCGACAAAACCCCAUCCACUCCUUUAUCAGCGUUUCCCUCCCUUUCCUCCCCUCCCCUCCCCUCCAUCCAUCCUCAGCCGCCCCUUCGCCGGCCGGCCAUGGCAAAUGCUUCCCUCCAGUCCUUCCUCCCCCAGCACCACCAUUCCUUCCUCAACAGCAACACCCACGACGGCUCCCCUCCCGCGCUCCUCAAGCUCACCACCAACAGCACCAACGCCAGCAACAGCAUUUCCUUCAAGCUCUUCGCCAGCAGCUCCUCCUCGGUGACCACAACCGCCAACUCGCCGGCUCCGACUCCGGUCGCCGCCGCCGCCGCGGCGACAACCUCGCCGCCCACCCCCUCCCUGGAGCUCCUGGGCCAGCAGCUCGCGGCGGGGGACUACCGGCAGGCCGACGAGACCACGCGCGCCCUCCUCAUCGUCCUCGCGGGCGAGGCCGCGCGCCGCCGAGGGUACGUCUUCUUCUCGGAGGUCCAGUUCAUCUCCGUCGAGGACCUCCGCGCCGUGGACGCGCUCUGGCUGGAGCACAGCGGCGGCAGGUUCGGGUACAGCGUGCAGCGCCGGGUUUGGGACAAGUCGCUGCGCGAGUUCACCCGAUUCUUCAUCAAGAUCGGCUGGAUGAAGAAGCUGGACACCGAGGUGGAGCAGUUCAACUACAGGGCCUUCCCCGACGAGUUCAUCUGGGAGCUCACCGACGACACGCCGGAGGGCCACCUGCCCCUCACCAAUGCCCUCAGGGGGACGCGGCUCCUGGAGAACAUCUUCACCCACCCCGCCUUCGACUGCGAAGAAGAUGAAGCAGCAGGGGCAGAUGAGGAGGCUGACAAGGGCAGUGCCACUGGUCAGAAUAAUAAGGAUGACAACAAAGGCAGGGGCAGGCCAAAGAGUUUGACAGAUUUCAAGCCCGACUACUCCUUUUAA
RNAcentral lists this ribosomal RNA (1062 nucleotides) under Triticum aestivum (bread wheat). Its description in RNAcentral is "partial small subunit ribosomal RNA". Lineage: Eukaryota; Viridiplantae; Streptophyta; Magnoliopsida; Poales; Poaceae. The record is from RNAcentral.